This 340-nucleotide ribosomal RNA is filed under the name uncultured eukaryote. Its description in RNAcentral is "SSU rRNA". It matches the Rfam family "Eukaryotic small subunit ribosomal RNA", at positions 22 to 363 of the family's 1831-position model. The record is from RNAcentral.
AGUCAUAUGCUUGUCUCAAAGAUUAAGCCAUGCAUGUCUAAGUAUAAACUGCUUUAUACUGUGAAACUGCGAAUGGCUCAUUAAAUCAGUUAUAGUUUAUUUGAUGGUACUUUACUACUCGGAUAACCGUAGUAAUUCUAGAGCUAAUACGUGCGUAAAUCCCGACUUCUGGAGGGGACGUAUUUAUUAGAUAAAAGACCGACCGGGCUUGCCCGACUCGCGGUGAAUCAUGAUAACUUCACGAAUCGCAUGGCCUUGUGCCGGCGAUGUUUCAUUCAAAUUUCUGCCCUAUCAACUUUCAACCGUAGGGUAGUGGCCUACGGUGGUGGUAACGGGUGAC